AACGAGGCCGACCUGCGGCUGAGUUACCUGCGGAGGGAUCAUUACAUUCAGUAGCCUAGCUACUUGUUUAUACCCUUGUUUUUUGCGUACCUAUUGUUUCCUCGGUGGGCUUGCCUGCCGAUUGGACAAAACUAUAACCUUUUUAAAUCUUCAAUCAGCGUCUGAAUUAUACAUAAUAAUUACAACUUUCAACAACGGAUCU
This 202-nucleotide unclassified non-coding RNA is filed under the name soil metagenome. RNAcentral describes it as "partial contains 5.8S ribosomal RNA, internal transcribed spacer 2, and large subunit ribosomal RNA". The record is from RNAcentral.